RNAcentral lists this ribosomal RNA (497 nucleotides) under uncultured bacterium. RNAcentral describes it as "partial 16S ribosomal RNA". It matches the Rfam family "Bacterial small subunit ribosomal RNA", at positions 28 to 507 of the family's 1533-position model. The record is from RNAcentral.
GAUGAACGCUGGCGGCGUGCCUAAUACAUGCAAGUCGAGCGAACAGACGAGGAGCUUGCUCCUCUGACGUUAGCGACGGACGGGUGAGUAACACGUGGAUAACCUACCUAUAAGACUGGGAUAACUUCGGGAAACCGGAGCUAAUACCGGAUAAUAUAUUGAACCGCAUGGUUCAAUAGUGAAAGACGGUUUUGCUGUCACUUAUAGAUGGAUCCGCGCCGCAUUAGCUAGUUGGUAAGGUAACGGCUUACCAAGGCAACGAUGCGUAGCCGACCUGAGAGGGUGAUCGGCCACACUGGAACUGAGACACGGUCCAGACUCCUACGGGAGGCAGCAGUAGGGAAUCUUGCGCAAUGGGCGAAAGCCUGACGGAGCAACGCCGCGUGAGUGAUGAAGGUCUUCGGAUCGUAAAACUCUGUUAUUAGGGAAGAAAAAAUGUGUAAGUAACUAUGCACGUCUUGACGGUACCUAAUCAGAAAGCCACGGCUAACUACGUG